CGAGGGGAGCAAACUCUCGGAGGCAAAGGAUCUUCCUCCGUCUACAAGAUCACUUCCGGCGUCGCUACCGUACGAAUCGACUCUUCCGCGAUCGGUUGCUGGAGACGGUGGCAACAACACCGACAGUCUUUGAACCCAGUUGUCAUCUCUAAAUACGAAACCUUUAAGGUUUCACAGCACUGGGCAAACACACACUCCGUAGAAAAAGAUAAAAGCUUUUGUGUAUCUUUCGAGCUUACGAGUCAUCUUUAAACGUACGGCACCAGAUGUUAGCUUUGGAUGUGUUGAUGUCAAGAGAAAGAAAGUAGAGAUUGCAGGAUUUGUCAUCUUCCUUUCGAGAAGAUAGUUCGAAUGAAUAAGAAGAAGACGAAGAAAAAGCAAGAGAAGGUGAAGAUGAAGAAGAGCAAUUGGGUUGCCUUUGCAAUUAGGUUGCUCUUGUAAAGGUAAUUUGGAUGUAGCUCACAGUAAGUGUGCUGAAACUCGGUUCAAGAUCAAAGAAACAUGACAUGUGAGAUAUGUGGCGCAACGGCUAUAAACGUUGCUGGCGAACAGUCAAACCAAGAGAGCAAUGCCUCUGCCCAUUCACAAACAACUGCAGGACAAACUCAGACAGAGACACGGGGAACCUGGCAUGGUCGCUGUGUUAUGAACUUCUUACUUGCCGCUAUGAUCUUUGCCUUCAUUGUUACUUGUUUUUUUUUUAAAGACCCCUGGAUAAGAGACUAUCAUUGGUGCACAAAAUCAAAAUGUUUCUUAACUAAGGUUUUUAAUUACUAAAAUAAUCAAUAAGAGAUUCUA
This is a long non-coding RNA of Brassica oleracea var. oleracea, 798 nucleotides long. RefSeq lists it as uncharacterized. The transcript has 3 exons. Lineage: Eukaryota; Viridiplantae; Streptophyta; Magnoliopsida; Brassicales; Brassicaceae. The record is from RefSeq and is a predicted model, not a curated record.